Molecule: ribosomal RNA, 433 nt
Filed under: uncultured bacterium
Lineage: Bacteria
Description: bacterial SSU rRNA
Rfam family: Bacterial small subunit ribosomal RNA
Source: RNAcentral
ACGCUGGCGGUGUGCUUCACACAUGCAAGUCGAACGAGGUAGCAAUACCUAGUGGCGGACGGGUGAGUAACGCGGUGGGAAUCUGUCCUUUAGAGUGGGGGAUAACGGGUCGAAAGACUCGCUAAUACCGAAUAUGACGAAAGUUGAAAGGAGUAAUCCGUCUAAAGAUGAGCCCGCGUCCGAUUAGCUAGUUGGUAGAGUAAAAGCCUACCAAGGCGACGAUCGGUAGCUGGUCUGAGAGGAUGAUCAGCCACAAUGGGACUGAGACACGGCCCAUACUCCUACGGGAGGCAGCAGUGGGAAUUUUACGCAAUGGGCGAAAGCCUGACGUAGCGACACCGCGUGAGCGAAGAAGCCCCUUGGGGUGUAAAGCUCUGUCAGCUGGAACGAAAAAAUGACGGUACCAGCAGAGGAAGCAUCGGCUAACUACGUG